RNAcentral lists this ribosomal RNA (1390 nucleotides) under Paracymoriza distinctalis. RNAcentral's name for it is "16S ribosomal RNA". Lineage: Eukaryota; Metazoa; Arthropoda; Insecta; Lepidoptera; Crambidae. The record is from RNAcentral.
GUAGAAAAAUUAAUAAUUUAUAAUUAAUAAAAUUAAUUUUUAUAUUAAAAUUGGGGGAUUUUAGUAUUAAUUAAAGAAAUAAUUAUAAUUUUUAUAGUUUAUUAGUAUUGUGGAAGAAUUUUGAAAUAUAUUAAAAAAUAAUUAAUUAAAAAGUAAAUUUUAUUUGUUGUAUCUUGUGUAUCAGAGUUUAUUAAAUAUAUAAAUUUGUAAAAAAUUUUUCUCGAAUUAAAAAGAGAUAAUUAAUUAUAAAAGUUAUUGUUUCAUAAAUAUUUUAAAUAAUUAAUUUGAAAUGAAAUGUUAAUCGUUUUUUAAUAUAUCUAGUUUUUUUUAGAAAAAAAUUUAAUUUUAAAUUUAUUUAUUUUAACUAUUUAAUUAACAAAUUAAAUACUUAAAAAUAAGAUUCUAUAUUUUAAGGGAUAAGCUUUAAUUUAAAUUUUCAUAAUAAUUUAAUAAUAUAAUAUUUAAAAUUUUUAAAAUUUAUAUUGUCUAUAAAUUUUAACUUAUUAUAAAUAAUUUUAAUAAAUUAAAUAAAAUUUUAAAAAAAUUUAAUUUUAUAUAAAAAAAUUAAUAUUAAUUAAUUAAUAUUAAGUUAUAAUGAUAAAAUUAGUAUAAAUUAUUAUAAGUAAAAAAAAUCAUAUAGUUAAAAUUAAAUAAGAUAAAGGAAUUCGGCAAAUAUUUAUAUUCCCUUGUUUAUCAAAAACCCGUCUUUUUGAAUAAAUAAUUUAAAGUCUAAUCUGCCCCCUGAUUAAUAUUAAAGGGCUGCCGUAAUUUGACUGUACAAAGGUAGCAUAAUCAAUAGUCUUUUAAUUGAAGACUGGAAUGAAAGAUUGAAUGAAAUAUAUACUGUCUCUAUUUUAAUAUUUAAAAUUUAAUUUUUUAGUUAAAAAGCUAAAAUGUUUUUAAAAGACGAGAAGACCCUAUAGAGUUUUAUAUUUAUUAUUAUUAAAAUUAUAUAUUUAAUUUAAAUUAAAAUUUUAAUAAUUAUUUUAUUGGGGUGAUAAAAAAAUUAAUUAAACUUUUUUUAAUAUUUAAACAUAGAUAAAUGAUUAAUUGAUCCAAAAUUUUUGAUUAAAAGAAUAAAUUACCUUAGGGAUAACAGCGUAAUUUUUUUUUUUAGUUCAUAUAAAAAAAAAAGUUUGCGACCCCGAUGUUGGAUUAAGAUAAAAUUUAAAUGCAAAAGUUUAAAAUUUUGAUCUGUUCGAUCAUUAAAAUCUUACAUGAUCUGAGUUCAAACCGGUGAAAGCCAGGUUGGUUUCUAUCUUUAAAUUAUUAAAAUAUUUUAGUACGAAAGGAAUUAAUAUUUAAAUUAAAUUUAUAAUAAAGAUUUACAAUAAAUUAAAAUUUAAAAAAAAAAUUAAUAUAAUAAUAGUAUAUAUAUAUAUAUAUAUAU